GACGAACGCUGGCGGCGUGCUUAACACAUGCAAGUCGAACGGUAAGGCCCUUCGGGGUACACGAGUGGCGAACGGGUGAGUAACACGUGGGUGAUCUGCCCUGCACUUCGGGAUAAGCUUGGGAAACUGGGUCUAAUACCGGAUAGGACCACGGUCUGCAUGGAUUGUGGUGGAAAGCUUUUGCGGUGUGGGAUGGGCCCGCGGCCUAUCAGCUUGUUGGUGGGGUGAUGGCCUACCAAGGCGACGACGGGUAGCCGGCCUGAGAGGGUGUCCGGCCACACUGGGACUGAGAUACGGCCCAGACUCCUACGGGAGGCAGCAGUGGGGAAUAUUGCACAAUGGGCGCAAGCCUGAUGCAGCGACGCCGCGUGGGGGAUGACGGCCUUCGGGUUGUAAACCUCUUUCAGCAGGGACGAAGGGUGACUGACGGUACCUGUAGAAGAAGCACCGGCCAACUACGUG
This 462-nucleotide ribosomal RNA is filed under the name uncultured bacterium. Its description in RNAcentral is "bacterial SSU rRNA". It matches the Rfam family "Bacterial small subunit ribosomal RNA", at positions 28 to 507 of the family's 1533-position model. The record is from RNAcentral.